CUACACAUGCAGUCGAGCGGAUGAAGGGAGCUUGCUCCUGGAUUCAGCGGCGGACGGGUGAGUAAUGCUUAGGAAUCUGCCUAUUAGUGGGGGACAACAUUUCGAAAGGGAUGCUAAUACCGCAUACGCCCUACGGGGGAAAGCAGGGGAUCUUCGGACCUUGCGCUAAUAGAUGAGCCUAAGUCAGAUUAGCUAGUUGGUGGGGUAAAGGCCUACCAAGGCGACGAUCUGUAGCGGGUCUGAGAGGAUGAUCCGCCACACUGGGACUGAGACACGGCCCAGACUCCUACGGGAGGCAGCAGUGGGGAAUAUUGGACAAUGGGGGGAACCCUGAUCCAGCCAUGCCGCGUGUGUGAAGAAGGCCUUUUGGUUGUAAAGCACUUUAAGCGAGGAGGAGGCUCUUCUAGUUAAUACCUAGGAUGAGUGGACGUUACUCGCAGAAUAAGCACCGGCUAACUCUGUGCCAGCAGCCGCGGUAAUACAGAGGGUGCGAGCGUUAAUCGGAUUUACUGGGCGUAAAGCGUACGUAGGCGGCUUUUUAAGUCGGAUGUGAAAUCCCUGAGCUUAACU
This 570-nucleotide ribosomal RNA is filed under the name bacterium het-w-9. RNAcentral's name for it is "bacterial SSU rRNA". It matches the Rfam family "Bacterial small subunit ribosomal RNA", at positions 49 to 614 of the family's 1533-position model. The record is from RNAcentral.